GAUGAACGCUGGCGGCGUGCCUAAUACAUGCAAGUCGAGCGAACAGACGAGGAGCUUGCUCCUCUGACGUUAGCGGCGGACGGGUGAGUAACACGUGGAUAACCUACCUAUAAGACUGGGAUAACUUCGGGAAACCGGAGCUAAUACCGGAUAAUAUAUUGAACCGCAUGGUUCAAUAGUGAAAGACGGUUUUGCUGUCACUUAUAGAUGGAUCCGCGCCGCAUUAGCUAGUUGGUAAGGUAACGGCUUACCAAGGCGACGAUGCGUAGCCGACCUGAGGGGGGAAUCGGCCACACGGAAACUGAGACCCGGUCCAGACCCUUAGGGGAGGCAGCAGUAGGGAAUCUUCCGCAAUGGGCGAAAGCCUGACGGAGCAACGCCGCGGGAGUGAUGAAGGUCUUCGGAUCGUAAAACUCUGUUAUUAGGGAAGAACAAAUGUGUAAGUAACUAUGCACGUCUUGACGGUACCUAAUCAGAAAGCCACGGCUAACUACGU
Molecule: ribosomal RNA, 496 nt
Filed under: uncultured bacterium
Lineage: Bacteria
Description: partial 16S ribosomal RNA
Rfam family: Bacterial small subunit ribosomal RNA
Source: RNAcentral